RNAcentral lists this long non-coding RNA (450 nucleotides) under Zalophus californianus (California sea lion). Its description in RNAcentral is "lncRNA (ENSZCAG00015006757.1)". Lineage: Eukaryota; Metazoa; Chordata; Mammalia; Carnivora; Otariidae. The record is from RNAcentral.
CGGCUUCUGUGAGCCAGACGGACGUGCGCGCGCAUUGAGGGUUGUGGCGAGCGGAGGCCUGCGUGCUGCUUUUCGACCACCCCAGACUCACUUCCCUCUUCUGUCCCAGCACCCCGGACUUCUCCGGGGUUCACGUGCCACCAGAAAGAUACUUUUAUUAUUGAAAGUGGCAAAGGACCAAACAAACAAGAAAACACAACACAGAUCAGUGCUGAAAAGAUUGUAUGCAACUAAUCAAUCAGUUGCAGAGAAUUCAUUGAAAGCAUAUCAAUGAAACCUAUUUGCUGGAGAAGUAGGUUGGUUACACAGUGCAAUGGGAGGAUAGCAAAAACUGGUCUCCUGAAACAUCUAGGACAAAAAGGACAGUCCUGCAGACAGACCGUGUUUGGAUCAAGUGAGCCAGUUCUUUGAACCUGAACACUGCUGAGUCAAGGCACACCGCAGAUUGGU